AUGCCGCACACAUGGAUACUGGAGUGCCUAAAGCUGUAUAACAUCAACAGGACACAAAGAGAGUUCAUCCAGAACUCCAUGAAGCUGUGGAACAUGACUCUGGAGGCCAACUCAAAUCCAUUUGCGCGGGUGAGCAUCAGAUGUGGCAUAUAUCAAGGAGAUGCCCUGUCCCCCCUGCUGUUCUGCAUAGGCCUAAAUCCCCUUAGCCAGAUCAUCACCAAGAGUGGCUAUGGGUACCAGUUCCGAAGUGGAACAACUGUCAGCUACCACCUCUACAUGGAUGACAUCAAGCUGUAUGCCAAGAAUGAGCGUGACAUCGAUUCCCUGAUCCACCUCACUAGGAUCUACAGCAAAGACAUCGGGAUGUCAUUCGGACUAGAUAAAUGUGGCCGGAUGAUAUCUAGAAGGGGAAAGGUGAUCACAACUGACGGGGUUGAACUACCUGAAGGGAAUAUCACAGAUGUGCAGGACAGCUACAAGUACCUGGGGAUCCCGCAGGCAAAUGGUAACCAUGAGGAGGCAGCUAGGAGGUCAGCCACAGCCAAAUACCUGCAGAGGUUAAGACAGGUCCUGAAAAGUCAGCUGAAUGGUAAGCAUAAGAUCCAGGCCAUAAACACCUACGCCCUGCCAGUAAUCAGAUACCCUGCUGGCAUAAUACCCUGGCCACUGGAAGAGAUACAAGCCACUGACAUCAAGACAAGGAAGCUCCUCACCAUGCACGGAGGGUUUCACCCUAAGUCCAGUGAUGUGAGGCAGUACACAAAGCAAAAGGAAGGGGGCCAAGGACUAGUAAGUGGCCGAACUACUGUCCAGGAGGAAACAACAAGCCUCCGAGAGUACAUCAAGAAGAUGGCCCCCACUGACCCACUGCUGAGUGAAUGCCUCAGGCAACAAAAGCCCACCAAGGAGGAGGAACCUGAGGGGCUAUCAUGGAAGGACAAGCCCAUGCAUGGAAUGUACCACCGACAAAUUGAGGAAGUGGCUGAUAUUGAGAAAACAUACCAGUGGCUGACAAAGGCCGAACUGAACGACAGCACAGAGGCUCUACUCAUGGCUGCACAAGAACAGGCCCGGAGCACCAGAGCAAUAGAGGCCAGGGUCUACCAUACCAGACAAGACCCCAGGUGCAGACUGUGUGGAGAUGCCCCUGAGACAGUCCAGCACAUCACAGCAGGGUGCAAGAUGCUAGCAGGCAAGGCAUACAUGGAACGGCAUAACUAA
RNAcentral lists this long non-coding RNA (1221 nucleotides) under Takifugu rubripes (torafugu). Its description in RNAcentral is "lncRNA (ENSTRUG00000027584.1)". The record is from RNAcentral. Lineage: Eukaryota; Metazoa; Chordata; Actinopteri; Tetraodontiformes; Tetraodontidae.